GCCGAGGUAGCUCAGUCGGUAGAGCAGAGGACUGAAAAUCCUCNUGUCACCAGUUCAAAUAAUAC
RNAcentral lists this transfer RNA (65 nucleotides) under Polystichum platyphyllum. RNAcentral describes it as "partial tRNA-Phe". It matches the Rfam family "tRNA", at positions 1 to 60 of the family's 71-position model. From Rfam's summary of the family: Transfer RNA (tRNA) molecules are approximately 80 nucleotides in length. The record is from RNAcentral. Lineage: Eukaryota; Viridiplantae; Streptophyta; Polypodiopsida; Polypodiales; Dryopteridaceae.